Molecule: small nuclear RNA, 165 nt
Organism: Choloepus didactylus (southern two-toed sloth)
Lineage: Eukaryota; Metazoa; Chordata; Mammalia; Pilosa; Megalonychidae
Product: U1 spliceosomal RNA
Exons: 1
Source: RefSeq, a predicted model, not a curated record
CCAUUUACCUGGCAGGGGAGAUACCAUGAUUACAAAGGUGGUUUUCCCAGGGCGAGGCUGAUCCAUUGCAUUCCGAGACCAGCUGAUCCCUGUGAUUUCCCCACAAGGGGGAAACUCAACUGCAUAAUUUGUGUUGGUGGGGGAUUGCAUGCAUGCUCCCCCCUC